UUAAGUCCGCACGAGCGCAACCCUAUGUUAGUUGCCAUCAUUCAGUUGGGCACUCUAGCGAGACUGCCGGUAAUAAACCGGAGGAAGGUGGGGAUGACGUCAAAUCAUCAUGCCCCUUAUGACCUGGGCUACACACGUGCUACAAUGGUUGGUACAACGAGUUGCGAGUCGGUGACGGCGAGCUAAUCUCUUAAAGCCAAUCUCAGUUCGGAUUGUAGGCUGCAACUCGCCUACAUGAAGUCGGAAUCGCUAGUAAUCGCGGAUCAGCACGCCGCGGUGAAUACGUUCCCGGGCCUU
RNAcentral lists this ribosomal RNA (297 nucleotides) under uncultured Streptococcus sp. RNAcentral's name for it is "partial 16S ribosomal RNA". It matches the Rfam family "Bacterial small subunit ribosomal RNA", at positions 1080 to 1382 of the family's 1533-position model. Lineage: Bacteria; Bacillati; Bacillota; Bacilli; Lactobacillales; Streptococcaceae. The record is from RNAcentral.